UGAUGACAAAAUUAAACAGAUCUCCCACUUGGUCUGAUUCAAAUAAUGAUUUAUCAUUAAAAUACAAUUAGUAGCCUUGGUCAUGAAUUCAAUCUCAAACUCAUAAGGGAGUGAGUAGAGGACUUACUCUUAUUUUGUUUCUAUGAAGAAGUUCAAUUGAUUUCUUAUGGAUGAAAAGAAUCCGAAUAAUCAAGUCAACCUUUCAAAAUAUCAUGUAAAAACCAGUCUCUAUACUUGAUUAUACGUAAUGAAAAAAUUGAUAUAGGUUUCCCAUUGAUACUUACGUAACUAAGAUUGAGUUGGACAGAUCAACAAUCACUGGAAUAACGGUUCGAUGGAGGAGAAUUAUCUCAAGAGAAAUCAUCAUCCAAAAUAAAAAAGAAUAGAUUAGGACUAGUAAUGAUCUAUGAAAAUAGGAGAGGAGGAAUAGAAGUUCAAUUAUAAUUAAAGAAUUGAAGAGGAAACGAAAAAUGGCGAAGAACAAUGACUAACGCAGUGGUAGUACGACAAUGCUACAAUGGCAGAACGACGGCGGUGCGAUGGUGGUGCAACGGUGAUGAGGUGUGGAAGAAAGGGAAGUUUUGGUGAUGAUGUGGUGGUGGUUUGAUGAGAAAGUGGUGGUCAACG
This 627-nucleotide long non-coding RNA is filed under the name Gossypium raimondii (Peruvian cotton). Its description in RNAcentral is "long non-coding RNA (GRAI_LNC009588)". The record is from RNAcentral. Lineage: Eukaryota; Viridiplantae; Streptophyta; Magnoliopsida; Malvales; Malvaceae.